This 497-nucleotide ribosomal RNA is filed under the name uncultured bacterium. RNAcentral's name for it is "partial 16S ribosomal RNA". It matches the Rfam family "Bacterial small subunit ribosomal RNA", at positions 28 to 507 of the family's 1533-position model. The record is from RNAcentral.
GACGAACGCUGGCGGCGUGCCUAAUACAUGCAAGUAGAACGCUGAAGAGAGGAGCUUGCUCUUCUUGGAUGAGUUGCGAACGGGUGAGUAACGCGUAGGUAACCUGCCUUGUAGCGGGGGAUAACUAUUGGAAACGAUAGCUAAUACCGCAUAACAAUGGAUGACACAUGUCAUUUAUUUGAAAGGGGCAAUUGCUCCACUACAAGAUGGACCUGCGUUGUAUUAGCUAGUAGGUGAGGUAACGGCUCACCUAGGCGACGAUACAUAGCCGACCUGAGAGGGUGAUCGGCCACACUGGGACUGGGACACCGCCCAGACUCCUUCGGGAGGCAGCCGUAGGGGAUCUUCGGCAAUGGGGGCAACCCUGACCGGGCAACGCCGCGUGAGUGGAGAAGGUUUUCGGAUCGUAAAGCUCUGUUGUAAGUCAAGAACGAGUGUGAGAGUGGAAAGUUCACACUGUGACGGUAGCUUACCAGAAAGGGACGGCUAACUACGUG